This 1037-nucleotide ribosomal RNA is filed under the name uncultured bacterium. Its description in RNAcentral is "bacterial SSU rRNA". It matches the Rfam family "Bacterial small subunit ribosomal RNA", at positions 336 to 1393 of the family's 1533-position model. The record is from RNAcentral.
CUCCUAAGGGAGGCAGCAGUGGGGAAUAUUGGGCAAUGGGCGAAAGCUGGACCCAGCAACGCCGCGUGAAGGAUGAAGGUUUUCGGAUUGUAAACUUCUGUCGCAGGGGACGAAGAAUGACGGUACCCUGUAAGAAAGCCCCGGCUAACUACGUGCCAGCAGCCGCGGUAAUACGUAGGGGGCGAGCGUUGUCCGGAAUGACUGGGCGUAAAGGGAGUGUAGGUGGCACAGCAAGUUAUAUGUGAAAGCCCGUGGCUCAACCACGGAACUGCAUAUAAAACUGCUGAGCUAGAGUGCAGGGGAGGUAAGCGGAAUUCCUAGUGUAGCGGUGGAAUGCGUAGAUAUUAGGAGGAACACCAGAGGCGAAGGCGGCUUACUGGACUGUAACUGACACUGAGGCUCGAAAGCGUGGGGAGCAAACAGGAUUAGAUACCCUGGUAGUCCACGCCCUAAACGAUGGAUACUAGACGAAGGCGGAUUAAUUCCGUCUGUGUCGAAGCAAACGCGAUAAGUAUCCCGCCUGGGGAGUACGGCCGCAAGGUUGAAACUCAAAGAAAUUGACGGGGACCCGCACAAGCAGCGGAGCAUGUGGUUUAAUUCGAAGCAACGCGAAGAACCUUACCAAGACUUGACAUCGUAUGACCGCCAUAGAAAUAUGGAAUCUCUUCGGAGCAUAUAGACAGGUGGUGCAUGGUUGUCGUCAGCUCGUGUCGUGAGAUGUUCGGUUAAGUCCGGCAACGAGCGUAACCCCUAUUAUUAGUUGCCAAUAUUAAGUUAGGAACUCUAAUAAGACUGCCGUGGAUAACACGGAGGAAGGUGGGGAUGACGUCAAAUCAUCAUGCCCCUUACGUCUUGGGCCACACACGUGCUACAAUGGGCGCUACAGAGAGCAGCGAAAUCGCAAGGUGGAGCAAAUCUCAAAAAAGCGUUCUCAGUUCGGAUUGUGGGCUGCAACCCGCCCACAUGAAGUCGGAGUUGCUAGUAAUCCCGAAUCAGAAUGUCGGGGUGAAUGCGUUCCCGGGUCUUGUACACACCGC